UCAGUUCAGAUUGCAGGCUGCAACUCGCCUGCAUGAAGUUGGAAUUGCUAGUAAUCGCGGAUCAGCAUGCCGCGGUGAAUACGUUCCCGGGCCUUGUACACACCGCCCGUCACACCAUGAGAGCCGGGAACACCCGAAGUCCGUAGUCUAACCGUAAGGAGGACGCGGCCGAAGGUGGGUUUGGUAAUUGGGGUGAAGUCGUAACAAGGUACC
RNAcentral lists this ribosomal RNA (213 nucleotides) under uncultured bacterium. Its description in RNAcentral is "partial 16S ribosomal RNA". It matches the Rfam family "Bacterial small subunit ribosomal RNA", at positions 1288 to 1500 of the family's 1533-position model. The record is from RNAcentral.